RNAcentral lists this ribosomal RNA (253 nucleotides) under uncultured bacterium. RNAcentral's name for it is "partial 16S ribosomal RNA". It matches the Rfam family "Bacterial small subunit ribosomal RNA", at positions 524 to 776 of the family's 1533-position model. The record is from RNAcentral.
GACAGAGGUCCCGAGCGUUAGGCGGAAUCACUGGGCUUAAAGCGUGUGUAGGCGGAUGCCUAAGUACCUUGUGAAAUCCCACGGCUCACCCGUGGAACUGCUUGGUAUACUGGGUGUCUUGAGCCACUUAGGGGCUACCGGAACAAAUGGUGGAGCGGUGAAAUGCGUAGAUAUCAUUUGGAACGCCAAUGGUGAAAACAGGUAGCUGGGAGGGUGCUGACGCUGAGACACGAAAGCCAGGGGAGCAAACGGG